CACGAUCCAAACACACAAACCUCAUCUUCUUCUCUUCUUCAUCUAUUCACCCAUUUUCCAAUCCAAUAAAACUCAAAUUUCAUACAAACAACAACCAAAUCUCAAACAAAAAACAAACAACCAAAUGAGUUAAUCAAAAGCAAGAAGUGGAAGACGAAUCGAAAGAGCAUUACCGCUGGAAUUGAUACGUUGCGAUUAACCGGCGGUCGGCAUCUUCGUCCCUUCUCCAAUGAAAUCUACGGCGCACCUUCCUCUUCCCUUCUCUUUCUCUAAUCGAUCUCCCUUCCUCCCUACCAUGGCUUUCUCUGCAAAAUCCACUCAAAUCGAGCAUUGAAUCACAAACGAAAUCGACAAGUAGGAAAUUAUUACCGAUCGUCCUUAGAAGCUUGCGAAUAUUGUGUCGGUAUUGUUGAUGUCCGGCAAGGAUUCCGACGAGGCCUGAUCCGACGGCGGCAGCGACGAACAUCAGUCAGUGUGGUUCCGGCGUGGGCUGAUUGUUGUGGUAAUCUCGCGGUUGCGCGCACACGGCAGUCCCGUCGGUCUUGUUGUGGGUUGCUGUUGAGCAGCGCAGCGACGGUUUGUGGGACUGAUAUUGUGUUAGGUGAAAGAGAUUUGUGAGCAUCUGUUGCAUUAUGAUGAUGAUUCCGUAUCGGUGUUGCGCAACAGCAUUGAGGAUAGGCCUUUGGUUCUGCGUGAGGCUGGAUGGCGAUUGUGUUGCCGGAUCGGAGGAAGGCGGCGCGUCGACUCUUCGUUGUUAGAGGCAGACUCGCGGGUUGCUGAAUCGAGCGGUUUCGUGGAGGCGGCACGGUGUUGGUUGGCUGCUUCAAUGUUGAUCCUCUUCCCGUUCUUCCUCUUUAAUCUCUCCCUGUAUUCAAAAUAAAUAACCAAACAGAUUGUUUCAAUUCAUAUGUCAGUGGUUCAAUAAUUUGUAUAAACUUCUUAAA
Long non-coding RNA from Vicia villosa (hairy vetch), 944 nucleotides. RefSeq lists it as uncharacterized. Lineage: Eukaryota; Viridiplantae; Streptophyta; Magnoliopsida; Fabales; Fabaceae. The transcript is spliced from 2 exons. The record is from RefSeq and is a predicted model, not a curated record.